This 448-nucleotide ribosomal RNA is filed under the name uncultured bacterium. RNAcentral's name for it is "bacterial SSU rRNA". It matches the Rfam family "Bacterial small subunit ribosomal RNA", at positions 28 to 458 of the family's 1533-position model. The record is from RNAcentral.
GAUGAACGCUGGCGGCGUGCUUAACACAUGCAAGUCGAACGAAGCACUUAUCUUUGAUUCUUCGGAUGAAGAGGUUUGUGACUGAGUGGCGGACGGGUGAGUAACGCGUGGGUAACCUGCCUCAUACAGGGGGAUAACAGUUAGAAAUGACUGCUAAUACCGCAUAAGACCACGGAGCCGCAUGGCUCAGUGGGAAAAACUCCGGUGGUAUGAGAUGGACCCGCGUCUGAUUAGGUAGUUGGUGGGGUAACGGCCUACCAAGCCAACGAUCAGUAGCCGACCUGAGAGGGUGACCGGCCACAUUGGGACUGAGACACGGCCCAAACUCCUACGGGAGGCAGCAGUGGGGAAUAUUGCACAAUGGGGGAAACCCUGAUGCAGCGACGCCGCGUGAGCGAAGAAGUAUUUCGGUAUGUAAAGCUCUAUCAGCAGGGAAGAAAAUGACGGU